GUGUCAGCCGCCGCGGUAAUACGGAGGAUCCAAGCGUUAUCCGGAAUCAUUGGGUUUAAAGGGUCCGUAGGCGGUCUUGUAAGUCAGUGGUGAAAGCCCAUCGCUCAACGGUGGAACGGCCAUUGAUACUGCUGGACUUGAAUUACUGGGAAGCAACUAGAAUAUGUAGUGUAGCGGUGAAAUGCUUAGAGAUUACAUGGAAUACCAAUUGCGAAGGCAGGUUGCUACCAGUGGAUUGACGCUGAUGGACGAAAGCGUGGGUAGCGAACAGGAUUAGAUACCCUCGUAGUCC
RNAcentral lists this ribosomal RNA (292 nucleotides) under uncultured bacterium. RNAcentral's name for it is "partial 16S ribosomal RNA". It matches the Rfam family "Bacterial small subunit ribosomal RNA", at positions 505 to 796 of the family's 1533-position model. The record is from RNAcentral.